UAGCAUAUCAAUAAGCGGAGGAAAAGAAACCAACAGGGAUUGCCUCAGUAACGGCGAGUGAAGCGGCAACAGCUCAAAUUUGAAAUCUGGCUCCUUCGGGGCCCGAGUUGUAAUUUGGAGAAGAUGCUUCGGGGGUGGCCCCGGUCUAAGUUCCUUGGAACAGGACGUCACAGAGGGUGAGAAUCCCGUACGUGACCGGUGGCCUCCUCCAUGUGAAGCUCUUUCGACGAGUCGAGUUGUUUGGGAAUGCAGCUCAAAAUGGGUGGUAAAUUUCAUCUAAAGCUAAAUAUUGGCCAGAGACCGAUAGCGCACAAGUAGAGUGAUCGAAAGAUGAAAAGCACUUUGGAAAGAGAGUUAAACAGUACGUGAAAUUGUUGAAAGGGAAGCGCUUGCAACCAGACUUGCGCGCGGUCGAUCAUCCGGUGUUCGCACCGGUGCACUCGGCCGCGCUCAGGCCAGCAUCGGUUUGGGUGGUUGGAUAAAGGCCUCGGGAACGUGGCUCCCCUCGGGGAGUGUUAUAGCCCGAGGCGCAAUGCAGCCCACCCGGACCGAGGACCGCGCUUCGGCUAGGAUGCUGGCGUAAUGGUUGUAAGCGACCCGUCUUGAAACACGGACCAAGGAGUCUAACAUCUAUGCGAGUGUUUGGGUGUCAAACCCAUACGCGUAAUGAAAGUGAACGGAGGUGAGAACCCUUAAGGGUGCAUCAUCGACCGAUCCUGAUGUCUUCGGAUGGAUUUGAGUAAGAGCAUAGCUGUUGGGACCCGAAAGAUGGUGAACUAUGCCUGAAUAGGGUGAAGCCAGAGGAAACUCUGGUGGAGGCUCGCAGCGGUUCUGACGUGCAAAUCGAUCGUCAAAUUUGGGCAUAGGGGCGAAAGACUAAUC
RNAcentral lists this ribosomal RNA (882 nucleotides) under Mycosylva setosa. Its description in RNAcentral is "LSU rRNA". It matches the Rfam family "Eukaryotic large subunit ribosomal RNA", at positions 36 to 936 of the family's 3401-position model. The record is from RNAcentral. Lineage: Eukaryota; Fungi; Ascomycota.